This 497-nucleotide ribosomal RNA is filed under the name uncultured bacterium. Its description in RNAcentral is "partial 16S ribosomal RNA". It matches the Rfam family "Bacterial small subunit ribosomal RNA", at positions 28 to 507 of the family's 1533-position model. The record is from RNAcentral.
GAUGAACGCUGGCGGCGUGCCUAAUACAUGCAAGUCGAGCGAACAGACGAGGAGCUUGCUCCUCUGACGUUAGCGGCGGACGGGUGAGUAACACGUGGAUAACCUACCUAUAAGACUGGGAUAACUUCGGGAAACCGGAGCUAAUACCGGAUAAUAUAUUGAACCGCAUGGUUCAAUAGUGAAAGACGGUUUUGCUGUCACUUAUAGAUGGAUCCGCGCCGCAUUAGCUAGUUGGUAAGGUAACGGCUUACCAAGGCAACGAUGCGUAGCCGACCUGAGAGGGUGAACGGGCCCAAUGGAACUUAGAAACCGUCCAGAAUCCUAAGGGAGGGCGCCGUAGGGAAUCUUGCGCAAUGGGCGAAAGCUUGACGGGGCAACGCCGCGUGAGUUAUGAAGGUCUUCGGAUCGUAAAACCCUGUUAAUAGGGAAGAACCAAUGUGUAAGUAACUAAGCACGGCUUGACGGUAACCAAUCCGAAAGCCACCGCCAACUACGUG